Molecule: ribosomal RNA, 253 nt
Filed under: uncultured bacterium
Lineage: Bacteria
Description: partial 16S ribosomal RNA
Rfam family: Bacterial small subunit ribosomal RNA
Source: RNAcentral
UACAGAGGUGGCAAGCGUUGUUCGGAAUUACUGGGCGUAAAGGGCGCGUAGGCGGCCAUCUAAGUCAGAUGUGAAAUCCCCGGGCUCAACCUGGGAACUGCAUUUGUGACUGCAUCGCUGGAGUGCGGCAGAGGGGGAUGGAAUUCCGCGUGUAGCAGUGAAAUGCGUAGAUAUGCGGAGGAACACCGAUGGCGAAGGCAAUCCCCUGGGCCUGCACUGACGCUCAUGCACGAAAGCGUGGGGAGCAAACAGG